ACAGAAAAGGCAGUUGGCUGCCCAGAGCAAUGGCUUCAAUUUGAAGGAUACAACUUUCUGUGAGCUCUUCCCUGAAGAUGCAGAGAAAAUUCGUGAAGAUAUACGAAAGCGGGAGGAAGAAAUUCGUGAGUCGACGAGUCAGUCCCUACAAAACAACAGACAGUCGAGUCUCCAGGGCGGGGACCCAGAAAACGUUGGGAAUAAUGGCCUCCUUGGUACAGCGCUAUCAAACAUUCUCGUUAUCAUUGGAUUUGCAGCCUUUGCCUACACAGUGAAAUAUGUGUUAAGAACAAUUGUGGAGUGAUGUAGGGGACUAUAGCUUGUCUGGAGGGUUUUAAGAAAAUGUUGAGGUGUUGUCAUAUCCUUGGUUUUGUGUCAUGAAGAAACUUUAACCCUGGUCAUAACUAAAAAGAAUGGUCAAGAUAUUCAACACUUGUUACCCAAGAUAAAACAACAUGGGGCCUUAUUCAUAAAGCAUAUUAAGUCAUUUCCUAACUUAAGUCAAUUUCUGAAAAUCUCCAUAGUCAUAUUAAAAGAAAUGUAUAAGUGUUUUUAACAUUACAGUAACUAUGUUUUUUCAGUAACCAAUGAAAAUAAUGUAUUUUGGAAAUUCUUUAUUUUUUAUUACAUAUAACUGAAGAGAUACUCAAAUAAGGAAAGUGACUUAAGUUAGGAAAUGACUUAAGAACUUGUUUGAAUACAGCCCCAGGCACAUAUCUCUGGAUUUAAUAAUUGUUAUGUCCAUUUUUUACUGAAAAACAAAAGACGAGCAAUGGCAAUCACUCUGUGGCACUUUCGUUUUCUAUUUCUAGAUAUUUAUUUUUAUGUAAGUGGUUUAUCAUUCUUCUUGGUCUGUGAACAGAAGGUACACAAUAUUUGUGAUAGUGUGAUAGACAUUAUGCUUACUCAGUACUUGUACUUCGAAGAUGUUUUUCUUCCUUAUUCAUGGAAAAUUCUUACUUACCAUAUACGGGCAUGUAUAUACAUGAUAAAUAUGAUUAUGUGUAUAUGUAACCCUGGUUGAAAUCUCUUUCACUAAGAAUCUAUAGGUUCAAUAUAGUUUUAGUGCAAUUAUUAUUUCCGCUAACAUUACCUUUGAUAAAUCUUGUUUUAAAAUUUGCUUGAUAUUUUUUUGUGUAUUAUAAUGUUUGUUGUUAUAGUUUUGUUAGUCAUUUUAUUAGUUAAAGUUAUUUUUAAUUUGAAAAUUAUAUAAUAUGCCUUGAAAUGAUGUAACUGUAAGAAACUGUUAAUGAGGGCUGUCCUAAAAUAGCAUAUAUAUAAUUUGUUGAUAGGUUGUUGUUGUUUUUCCACAAAGAAGGCCUUUUGCAGACAAAUUGUAAUGUUUGUAAAUGCCAUUAAUGUUAUGGGUUAUUGCAGUAAAAACACAAAACCCACGAGAGGAAGUCAGCAUGCGUGUUCUUUCGCCUGUCCAAUCAUUUUCUUAGUAAAUGGGUGGAUGUCUUUUCUCACUAAUUUUGACCCAAAAGGGUAAAUUUGCUUCUGUAGGGGGUGGUAUAAUUUAAAUGUGCCUUCCCCCCAGGGGUUAAGUGGAAUAGUCCUAACAUAAAAUUUCAAGGGAUAUAAUAUUUGAAAGACCAAAGUCGCAGUGGCCCUCGCUAACUUCAAUCCCAGUACAUGGCAGUAUCAAGUUACCUUUAUAUAACAUAAUGCACUUUUUAUAAUAGGGUGGCUACAAUUUCUCAAAAUACAUAUUGCAUUAUGUGGAGCCAGUAUUGAAAUUUAUUGCAAUUAUAUUGUUCUUCGAUAAUUGAGGAGAAAUUUCUGUAAAGAGUUUUUAUAAGACUUAUUAUUGUUAACCAACCUUGUUAAGCAUAUCAUAAGGGAACAUUAUUUUAAAAAAUUAAUAAAGGUUGACAUAAAAAAUGUGCAAAAUGACUAAGUGAACAAAAUAUUUAUACUUAUUGUUCGUAAAUUAUUACUAGACAAGUAAAAAUUUAGUUAAUGUUUUGUUUUUCACAUUGAGAGGAUUGUUGUGUGAGGAUUUCUGCAUUCAUGAACGUCUUUAAAAAAAUGUUGCGAUAUAUAUAUAUAUAUAUAUAUAUAUAUGGAUAUGACGGAAAUUGUAUUGUGAUACCUUAUUAUGAGAUAUGUAUUGAUAUUGUUGCCAGCUUAAUAUUUACUGUAUAUAUUGGUUUAUUUCUUGAGCUACUGACUACAACCAGCACACAAUAUUUUGAUUAUUUAUGAGAUGAGCCACAUCAUGUUAAUUUGGGCCUUAGGACAUAAUUAUUACAAAUGAAAAAAAGAAGAUUUUGUCUUUUUGUUUUAAUUUCUUUCAAACUUAUUUCUAUGAAUAGUUAAUGGCACAUCAUUUUCUUAAUGACAAUUAAUUUACCCAUGUUUACAUAGAAACCAUGCCCUUCUUCAUGGUUUUAUUCAAGUGCAUUCAUAGCACCCGGUAUCUUUUUAAUGACAAUUAAUUUACCCAUGUUUACAUAGAAACCAUGCCCUUCUUCAUGGUUUUAUUCAAGUGCAUUCAUAGCACCCGGUAUCUUUUUUUGAACGGCCCGAUGUUUAAUAUAUUAAAUGAAUGAUCAUACUUUGCUUUCAAGGUUCCGUGUAAGGAUAAAAACUUCUGUCUUUUAUAUUCUAUUUCAAUAUGAAUAGAUUAAUUGUGUGUGAAAUUUUAAUCUUGUCCUUUUGUUUAAUAGCAUGUUUUGUAUUUGACAUCUGAAUAAUUGUACAAAAUGCUCAUUGCAUGGCCUUACUUUUUAAACACAAAUCUGAAUCCAUUUCAGAAUUCUUCCUGAAACUCCUUUAACUGAAUCACAAAAUACAAAAAUAAAAGCAAACAUGUCCGAAGGCCCAAAUUGUGCAAUGUGGCUCAGACAAUUCCUUCCAAAUUUAGUUUCUUACACCGAAGUGUACUGGAUGACUCCAUGUAUCACUGCUUGCUUUAUGAUUUCAGUGAUUAUAAACUUACCGGUAAGAAUUUUAUCCCUCAUUCUCCCAUAUUGAGACUUCAUGUAAUUCUAUUUUCUCAAAGAAAAACAACAACAUUCAUUUAGCAUUUAUAACCUAUGAUCAUGUUUUGUUUCUAUAUUGUUAUAUAUUGUUAUUUCAUUGUUACAUUCACUGUUUAUGGAAACCAAUAUAGUUUAAAUAGGUGAGCUGCCUUAUCAUAUGGCAAAAUGGUGAAAAAUCCAUCAAGUACAUGUAUAAAUAAAACAUGGAAAACAACAGGGAAUUGCCGACAAUCCUGUAUAAAUGCACAAUACCGGUAAUCAAGGCAAAACAAACACCAAACAAGAUGUUGUAAUGUCGCCUUUGUUAAUUGCAUCCUAUGUAUUGCCCAAAUAAUACAAGUGUUGUAGCUAAUGAGUUAUAGGAUGGUGUUGCACCCUGCUCUUUUUUAUAUCACUGCUCUGCCCUCAGGGAGACCAACAAGGACACCCUUCUGCCAUUUUAGAUUUGAACGCUUAAUAUAAUACACAUGUCCUAUGUCUUAUUUAAAAUAUUAUCUGGCAGUCGAAACUUAAAACAAAUGUAAUUAAUCACAUGUAUUAUAUGUAAGUUCUUCACAGCCCAAGUUAAUGUGUCCUUUACCCUUAACCUUAUAACACCCUGCCCCCUUUCUGCGAAACACCCUGCCCCCUUUCUGCGAAACACCCUGCCCUUUAAAACCUGGCUUAAACCCAAUUAAUACCCUCAAAAUAUUGAUAAGACAGCUCACCAUUUUCAUAAUCUUUACUGUAUAUGCCUUCGAUUCUGUUUAUAACACUACAUAUAGAUAUAUGUUAUAUAUUUUCAAAGAAUCAAUAGUUACAAGGUAGAUGUAUUUUCAUAUUCAAGUCGAUAGUUAGUUGGUAUUGCAUUUGCGAACAUUAAUGAAUCAAGAUAAUUGUGUAGACCUCAAUAUUUAAUUGAACAGGUACUGCUGCCACUGUUAUUUCACUUGAACUGUUGAAUCAAACUAUUUAAUUUUGUGACUGUUUCUGACUUUCAAUAUUAUGUGGUUAAGUGAUGAAUAAAUUGUUAUAAUUGUA
Long non-coding RNA from Mya arenaria, 4007 nucleotides. RefSeq lists it as uncharacterized. The record is from RefSeq and is a predicted model, not a curated record. The transcript is spliced from 2 exons. Lineage: Eukaryota; Metazoa; Mollusca; Bivalvia; Myida; Myidae.